GAUGAACGCUGGCGGCGUGCCUAAUACAUGCAAGUCGAGCGAACGGACGAGAAGCUUGCUUCUCUGAUGUUAGCGGCGGACGGGUGAGUAACACGUGGAUAACCUACCUAUAAGACUGGGAUAACUUCGGGAAACCGUAGCUAAUACCGGAUAAUAUUUUGAACCGCAUGGUUCAAGAGUGAAAGACGGUCUUGCUGUCACUUAUAGAUGGGUCCGCGCUGCAUUAGCUAGUUGGUAAGGUAACGGCUUAUCAAGGCAACGAUGCAUAGCCGACCUGAGAGGGUGAUCGGCCACACUGGUACUGAGGCACGGUCCAGACUCCUACGGGAGGCAGCAGUAGGGAAUCUUCCGCAAUGGGCGAAAGCCUGACGGAGCAACGCCGCGUGAGUGAUGAAGGUCUUCGGAUCGUAAAACUCUGUUAUUAGGGAAGAACAUAUGUGUAAGUAACUGUGCACAUCUUGACGGUACCUAAUCAGAAAGCCACGGCUAACUACGUG
RNAcentral lists this ribosomal RNA (497 nucleotides) under uncultured bacterium. RNAcentral describes it as "partial 16S ribosomal RNA". It matches the Rfam family "Bacterial small subunit ribosomal RNA", at positions 28 to 507 of the family's 1533-position model. The record is from RNAcentral.